RNAcentral lists this small RNA (78 nucleotides) under Sinorhizobium meliloti 2011. RNAcentral's name for it is "putative ncRNA". The record is from RNAcentral. Lineage: Bacteria; Pseudomonadati; Pseudomonadota; Alphaproteobacteria; Hyphomicrobiales; Rhizobiaceae.
CUAUCGAAAGGGACGGGCAGGCUGCUGCAGCGGCCUGUGCGCUAAGGCGCAUGGCCACAGCGGGCCUGCCCGUCUGAC